Molecule: transfer RNA, 75 nt
Filed under: Wolbachia endosymbiont of Pentalonia nigronervosa
Lineage: Bacteria; Pseudomonadati; Pseudomonadota; Alphaproteobacteria; Rickettsiales; Anaplasmataceae
Also listed under: 2 other names
Rfam family: tRNA
About the family: Transfer RNA (tRNA) molecules are approximately 80 nucleotides in length. Their secondary structure includes four short double-helical elements and three loops (D, anti-codon, and T loops).
Source: Rfam by way of RNAcentral
CGGGGCGUAGCGCAGCCUGGGUAGCGCACUUGGUUUGGGUCCAAGGGGUCGGGAGUUCAAAUCUCUCCGCCCCGA